AGAGUUUGAUCAUGGCUCAGAACGAACGCUGGCGGCGUGCCUAACACAUGCAAGUCGAACGGAAUUAAGGGGCUUGCUCCUUAAUUUAGUGGCGCACGGGUGAGUAAUGCGUAGAUAAUCUACCCAAGGAUCCGGGAUAACAUUUCGAAAGGGGUGCUAAUACCGGAUAAGCCCACGGGGUCUUCGGACUCUGCGGGAAAAGGGGGGGACCUUCGGGCCUUCUGUCCUCGGAUGAGUCUACGUACCAUUAGCUAGUUGGUGGGGUAAAGGCCUACCAAGGCUACGAUGGUUAGCUGGUCUGAGAGGAUGAUCAGCCACACUGGAACUGAGACACGGUCCAGACUCCUACGGGAGGCAGCAGUGGGGAAUUUUGCGCAAUGGGGGAAACCCUGACGCAGCAACGCCGCGUGAGUGAUGAAGGCCUUCGGGUCGUAAAGCUCUGUCAGUGGGAAAGAAAUGUACGAGGGUCAAUACCCCUUGUACUUGACGGUACCCACAAAGGAAGCACCGGCUAACUCCGUGCCAGCAGUCGCGGUAAUACGGAGGGUGCGAGCGUUGUUCGGAAUUAUUGGGCGUAAAGCGCGUGUAGGCGGCUCCUUAAGUCUGAUGUGAAAGCCCCGGGCUCAACCUGGGAAGUGCAUUGGAAACUGGGGAACUUGAAUACGGGAGAGGGUAGUGGAAUUCCUGGUGUAGGAGUGAAAUCCGUAGAUAUCAGGAGGAACACCGGUGGCGAAGGCGGCUACCUGGACCGAUAUUGACGCUGAGACGCGAAAGCGUGGGGAGCAAACAGGAUUAGAUACCCUAGUAGUCC
Molecule: ribosomal RNA, 811 nt
Filed under: uncultured bacterium
Lineage: Bacteria
Description: bacterial SSU rRNA
Rfam family: Bacterial small subunit ribosomal RNA
Source: RNAcentral